GGGCCUGUAGCUCAGUGGUAGAGUGUCUGCUUAGCAUGCAGAAGGUCCCAGGUUCAAUCCCUGGCAUCUCCA
This is a non-coding RNA of Gekko japonicus, 72 nucleotides long. The record is from the annotation of a RefSeq genome assembly. NCBI's taxonomy places the organism in Eukaryota, Metazoa, Chordata, Lepidosauria, Squamata, Gekkonidae.